UUACCGAGUUUACAACUCCCAAACCCCUGUGAACAUACCUUAAUGUUGCCUCGGCGGAUCAGCCCGCGCCCCGUAAAACGGGACGGCCCGCCAGAGGACCCAAACUCUAAUGUUUCUUAUUGUAACUUCUGAGUAAAACAAACAAAUAAAUCAAAACUUUCAACAACGGAUCUCUUGGUUCUGGCAUCGAUGAAGAACGCAGCAAAAUGCGAUAAGUAAUGUGAAUUGCAGAAUUCAGUGAAUCAUCGAAUCUUUGAACGCACAUUGCGCCCGCUGGUAUUCCGGCGGGCAUGCCUGUUCGAGCGUCAUUUCAACCCUCAAGCCCCCGGGUUUGGUGUUGGGGAUCGGCUCUGCCCUUCUGGGCGGUGCCGCCCCCGAAAUACAUUGGCGGUCUCGCUGCAGCCUCCAUUGCGUAGUAGCUAACACCUCGCAACUGGAACGCGGCGCGGCCAUGCCGUAAAACCCCAACUUCUGAAUGUUGACCUCGGAUCAGGUAGGAAUACCCGCUGAACUUAAGCAUAUCAA
This 525-nucleotide ribosomal RNA is filed under the name Fusarium acuminatum. Its description in RNAcentral is "eukaryotic LSU rRNA". The stretch from base 155 to 308 matches the Rfam family "5.8S ribosomal RNA". The record is from RNAcentral. Lineage: Eukaryota; Fungi; Ascomycota; Sordariomycetes; Hypocreales; Nectriaceae.